This 51-nucleotide small RNA is filed under the name Helianthus annuus (common sunflower). RNAcentral's name for it is "hypothetical non coding rna". The record is from RNAcentral. Lineage: Eukaryota; Viridiplantae; Streptophyta; Magnoliopsida; Asterales; Asteraceae.
GUGACAGAAGAGAGUGAGCACCCAUGGCCUUUCUAGCAUGCAUGCUUGAAG